Molecule: ribosomal RNA, 500 nt
Filed under: uncultured Glomeromycotina
Lineage: Eukaryota; Fungi; Glomeromycota
Description: partial small subunit ribosomal RNA
Rfam family: Eukaryotic small subunit ribosomal RNA
Source: RNAcentral
CCAAUAGCGUAUAUUAAAGUUGUUGCAGUUAAAAAGCUCGUAGUUGAAUUUCGGGGUCAGCAGGUUGGUCGUGCCACUGGUAUGCACUGGCCUCGCUGAUUCCUCCCUCUUGUAGAACCGUAAUGCCAUUAAGUUGGUGUUGCGGGGAAACAGGACUGUUACUUUGAAAAAAUUAGAGUGUUUAAAGCAGGCUAACGCUUGAAUACAUUAGCAUGGAAUAAUGAAAUAGGACGAUCGAUCCUAUUUUGUUGGUUUCUAGGGUUGACGUAAUGAUUAAUAGUGAUAGUUGGGGGCAUUAGUAUUCAAUUGUCAGAGGUGAAAUUCUUGGAUUUAUUGAAGACUAACUACUGCGAAAGCAUUUGCCAAGGAUGUUUUCAUUAAUCAAGAACGAAAGUUAGGGGAUCGAAGACGAUCAGAUACCGUCGUAGUCUUAACCAUAAACUAUGCCGACUAGGGAUCGGAUGAUGUUAAUUUUUUAAUGACUCAUUCGGCGCCUUACG